Molecule: ribosomal RNA, 253 nt
Filed under: uncultured bacterium
Lineage: Bacteria
Description: partial 16S ribosomal RNA
Rfam family: Bacterial small subunit ribosomal RNA
Source: RNAcentral
UACGUAGGGUGCAAGCGUUAAUCGGAAUUACUGGGCGUAAAGCGUGCGCAGGCGGUUUUGCAAGUCAGAUGUGAAAUCCCCGGGCUUAACCUGGGAACUGCGUUUGAAACUACAAGGCUAGAAUGUGGCAGAGGGGGGUGGAAUUCCACGUGUAGCAGUGAAAUGCGUAGAGAUGUGGAGGAACACCGAUGGCGAAGGCAGCCCCCUGGGUUAACACUGACGCUCAGGCACGAAAGCGUGGGGAGCAAACAGG